This 253-nucleotide ribosomal RNA is filed under the name uncultured bacterium. Its description in RNAcentral is "partial 16S ribosomal RNA". It matches the Rfam family "Bacterial small subunit ribosomal RNA", at positions 524 to 776 of the family's 1533-position model. The record is from RNAcentral.
UACGUAGGGGGCUAGCGUUGUCCGGAUUUAUUGGGUUUAAAGGGUGCGUAGGCGGUUUUUUAAGUCAGUGGUGAAAUACUUCAGCUUAACUGGAGAGGUGCCAUUGAUACUGGGAAACUUGAGUACUGAUGAGGUAGGCGGAAUGGACGGUGUAGCGGUGAAAUGCUUAGAUAUCGUCCAGAACACCGAUAGCGAAGGCAGCUUACUAAGGAGUAACUGACGCUGAGGCACGAAAGUGUGGGGAUCAAACAGG